GAUGAACGCUGGCGGCAUGCCUUACACAUGCAAGUCGAACGGCAGCACGGGAGCAAUCCUGGUGGCGAGUGGCGAACGGGUGAGUAAUAUAUCGGAACGUGCCCAGUCGUGGGGGAUAACGUAGCGAAAGCUACGCUAAUACCGCAUACGAUCUAUGGAUGAAAGCGGGGGAUCGCAAGACCUCGCGCGAUUGGAGCGGCCGAUAUCAGAUUAGGUAGUUGGUGAGGUAAAGGCUCACCAAGCCGACGAUCUGUAGCUGGUCUGAGAGGACGACCAGCCACACUGGGACUGAGACACGGCCCAGACUCCUACGGGAGGCAGCAGUGGGGAAUGUUGACAAUGGGCGCAAGCCUGAUCCAGCAAUGCCGCGUGCAGGAUGAAGGCCUUCGGGUUGUAAACUGCUUUUGUACGGAACGAAACGGCGAGCUCUAAUACAGUUUGCUAAUGACGGUACCGUAAGAAUAAGCACCGGCUAACUACGUGCCAGCAGCCGCCGCUG
Molecule: ribosomal RNA, 499 nt
Filed under: uncultured bacterium
Lineage: Bacteria
Description: partial 16S ribosomal RNA
Rfam family: Bacterial small subunit ribosomal RNA
Source: RNAcentral